This 232-nucleotide long non-coding RNA is filed under the name Prunus persica (peach). Its description in RNAcentral is "long non-coding RNA (PPER_LNC001668)". Lineage: Eukaryota; Viridiplantae; Streptophyta; Magnoliopsida; Rosales; Rosaceae. The record is from RNAcentral.
AAAAUUCAUGUCUCAUAAAAGUUGGUAUUAAGUGUUAUUUUAUGAUUUUUUAAAUAUUGGGUCCUAUUAUUGUUUACUCUCUUUUAAAAUUUAAAAAAUUACAAGCGUGGGUUAAGUCAGUUGACCGUGACAGUUACCUCAUUCCUUUGCACUCAAGUACGAGUUCCCCUUCCGUAAAUUAGAUUAAUUUAAAGUAAUUUAUGAAAAUUUUAAAGAUUAUAUUAGCUUUUCU